GAUCCUGGCUCAGGACGAACGCUGGCGGCGUGCUUAAUACAUGCAAGUCGAACGAAGCUGCUUGACGGAAUCCUUCGGGAGGAAGGCGAGUAGACUUAGUGGCGGACGGGUGAGUAACGCGUGAGCAAUCUGCCCAUAAGAGGGGGACAACAGUUGGAAACGACUGCUAAUACCGCAUAAGACCACAUUACCGCAUGGUAGAGGGGUCAAAGAGAUAUCGCUUAUGG
RNAcentral lists this ribosomal RNA (227 nucleotides) under uncultured bacterium. RNAcentral describes it as "partial 16S ribosomal RNA". It matches the Rfam family "Bacterial small subunit ribosomal RNA", at positions 15 to 224 of the family's 1533-position model. The record is from RNAcentral.